This 2755-nucleotide long non-coding RNA is filed under the name Homo sapiens (human). RNAcentral's name for it is "non-protein coding lnc-NBPF1-2:5". The record is from RNAcentral. Lineage: Eukaryota; Metazoa; Chordata; Mammalia; Primates; Hominidae.
GGCGGUUGAGACAGCGGCGGUACUGGGAGGCGUAGGUGAGGGUCGCGAGGCUGCCCGAGCUUCUGAGCGAGCGCGGUGCUUUUGGGAACGCGGGACGGGCGAUCUGCGGCGCCAGGAGCUGGGCCGAGGCGCGGCGGCGCGGCUGCCGGCUGCCCUGUGAAUGGGAAGUUACGCGAAGUCCACCCAGCGUUUCUGAGGCAAUCUGAAGGCAAAUCCUGUUUAGACCCAGGCGAAGGUUCCCGGUGACCCGGGCUCUCACCAGCCAAUUGUCCCUUGCCGUCCUCCUGAGGGUGCCUGGAGCUUAAGCACUGUGUGCUCUUGGCCUCCACACUGGGGAUGCCGCUGACUCCCACUGUCCAGGGCUUCCAGUGGAUUCUCCGAGGCCCUGAUGUAGAAACUUCCCCAUUGGGUGCACCAAGAGCAGCCUCACAUGGUGUGGGCUGACAUCAAGAGCUGCCAGAUCCAACAGGUCCUGGGGGAGUAGGAGCCAGUGCAAGGAGAGAAGUCCAUUGAGAAAGGCAAAUGGAUGACAUCAGACCCAGGGGCUGAGGUCCCCAACUGCAGCUGGGUAGCUUCUGGAGUGGACAAGGAGCAACAGGGAAGUUCGUGGCCUGGUGUUCUGGGAUCCACUGUCUCAUCUCAUUCUUGUGGGCACCAGAACGUAUCCAAAGACAAGACUCAGUGUCUCUGGCAACAGUGAGCCAGAGAUAGAAUGUGUUUCAGAGGAGGAGGAAGGGGUUGUUGUACCCCAUGGAAACAGUAUAUUGUUUUACAGUAGCGUGUCUUUCUCUAAUAACUACUUAGCGUGUUCCUGUUAAUGGAAAAUAUUGGUGGUGUAAGUUUCCCCACUGUUCUCAUCUUCAUGUAAAUUUGUUCAUUUCCUUCCUUCCUUCCUUCCUUCCCUACUUCCCUCCAACUCUCUUUCUCUCUCUUUUUAUUCUUUCCCUCCUUCCCACCCGCCCUCCAUCCCUCCCUUCCUUCCUCCUUCCCUCCUUCCCUCCCUUCUUUCCUUUCUUCCUUUCUUCUUUUCUUCUUCUUUCUCUCUCAUGCUCUCUCUUUUUCUUUCCUUUUCAUUCUCUCUACUUUUUUGAAGAGAUCACACUGUACUGAAACCUACAUUAUUUUCCAAAAUCUCUGGAUCUGCUUCUGUCUUGCAGGCAGAGAGCUCAUCCAGUAGCCCUUAGCUCUUCCCAGCCCCCUCCUUUGAUUUGUGGGUGCCACUGCGGCAGCUGCUGAGUCUCAGUGGUUUCUGGUCUUCACCAAGUUCUGCCCACCCAGAUGGUUUUUACCUGUCCUCACCAGAAACCUGCACUGUCUAGAUUGCUGAGGCUGCUUCUCCUUAACCGAUCUGCUAUCUGUAUUCCAGGGGCACCCCAGGGUUAGAGGUAAAUGGCACAGGCCUUGAAAUCUCCAACUGCUCUGACUCCAGGUUGGUGCACUUCAAUGCCAAGUACUAACCACACAAUUACAGGAUGCCACCAAAACCUUGAUAUGGGGCUGCUGCAUCCUAAUUAAAAAAACAGUUAAUAGACAUUAUUUUUUAGAACAGUUCUAGGUUUACAGAAAACUUGAGUGGAUAAUACAGAGAGUUCUCCUAGGCUCCCCUGUCCUCCAGCACACAAUUUUCCCUACUAGUAUGUUGUAUUAGUGUGGUCCAUUCAUUACAAUUGAUGAACCACUGUUGAUACGUCAUUAUCAACUAAAGUCCAUAGUUUACAUUAGAGGUCAUUCUUUGAGUUUCACAGAUUAUGGGUUUUGGCAAUUACAUAAUGUCCUAAAUCCCCAAUACAGCAUCAUGCGAAAGAGUUUCACUGCUGAAAAUUCCCUGUGCUUCACCAUUUCACGCGUCCUCCUCUCCUCCACCCCUGACAACCACUCACCAUUUUACUACUUCUAUCUUUUUGACUUUCCAAGAAUGUCCUAGAGUUGGAGUGGUACAGUAUGUGGGUUUCCAGACUGGCUUCUUUCUAGCAUUAUGUACUUUAAGUUCCUUCAUGUCUUUUCAUGGCUUGAUAACUUGUUUUUUAAAAUCAGUGAAUCAGAUUUCCUUGUAUGGCUACAACAGUUUGUUUAUUCUUUCGCUUGGUGAAAGACAUCUUGGGCACUUCCAAGUUUUGGCGAUGAUGAAUAAAAUUGCUGUAAGUACUUCUGUGCAGGAUUUUGAGUGAACUUAAGUUUUCCAAAGUGACUGUACCCUUUUGAUUUCCACUAGCGAUGGAAAGUUCUGGUUGCUCCUCAUCUUUGACAGCAUUUGGUGUGUUCACCUUUUUGAAUUUUAGCCAUUCUAAACAGCUUAUCUGCCCCUACUGUGGAAUGAUGUGACAGACAUAGAAUAACACUUACAGUGAUUCUAGUUCAAAAUGAGGCAACAUGGAAGGGAUAAAGAAGUCACUGACCCAAAAUAGUUUGGAAAUGGAGCUGGGCAAAAUCCAGCAGAAGUUUCUUAAUUAGGAUCGACAGCCUGGGACCGGCCCGCCGUCCUGUGGGUCUUUGCCUCUGGGCUGUCUGCUGUGCAUUUCUUGGAACCAUUAUUAUUUAUCUUUUUUUCUCACACUUUUUUGGGUAUGGCUUCUAUCGCACUCCAAAUGUUUUUGAGAUUCAUCCAUGUUGUUCUGUGUGUCACCAGUUUGUUCCUUUAGCCAUUCCAUGGAAUGAGUGUAUCACAGUUUAUUGAUCCAUUCUUGUAUUGACAGAUACUUGAAUGUUUCCAGUUUUUUGUAUUAUGAAUAAAACUGCUAUGAACAUUCUUGUAUAA